ACAUGCAAGUCGAGCGUGGAAAGUUGAAAGUUGUUCGGUAGUUGACCUAGCGGCGGACGGGUGAGUAAUACUUAGAAAUCUGCCUAUUAAUGGGGGACAACAUCUCGAAAGGGAUGUUAAUACCGCAUACGCCCUACGGGGGAAAGCAGGGGAUCACUUGUGACCUUGCGUUAAUAGAUGAGCCUAAGUCGGAUUAGCUAGUUGGUGGGGUAAAGGCUACCAAGGCGACGAUCUGUAGCGGGUCUGAGAGGAUGAUCCGCCACACUGGGACUGAGACACGGCCCAGACUCCUACGGGAGGCAGCAGUGGGGAAUAUUGGACAAUGGGGGGAACCCUGAUCCAGCCAUGCCGCGUGUGUGAAGAAGGCCUUAUGGUUGUAAAGCACUUUAAGCGAGGAGGAGGCUCCUAUAGUUAAUACCUAUAGUGAGUGGACGUUACUCGCAGAAUAAGCACCGGCUAACUCUGUGCCAGCGCCGCGGUAAUACAGAGGGUGCGAGCGCUAAUCGGAUUUACUGGGCGUAAAGCGUGCGUAGGCGGCUUUUUAAGUCGGAUGUGAAAUCCCCGAGCUUAACUUGGGAAUUGCAUUCGAUACUGGGAAGCUAGAGUAUGGGAGAGGAUGGUAGAAUUCCAGGUGUAACGGUGAAAUGCGUAGAGAUCUGGAGGAAUACCGAUGGCGAAGGCAGCCAUCUGGCCUAAUACUGACGCUGAGGUACGA
This 715-nucleotide ribosomal RNA is filed under the name uncultured Acinetobacter sp. RNAcentral's name for it is "bacterial SSU rRNA". It matches the Rfam family "Bacterial small subunit ribosomal RNA", at positions 53 to 756 of the family's 1533-position model. The record is from RNAcentral. Lineage: Bacteria; Pseudomonadati; Pseudomonadota; Gammaproteobacteria; Moraxellales; Moraxellaceae.